AGAAGGAAGAUAUGAGUUUGGACUGCUGCCUAUGGUGAAAUCAAUGUCAGCCUUUGUCCAACACCUGGAAGAGAUAGAAAGUCACGUCUUUUUGAGCAUCCUCAUUUCCAGAAAGCAUCUGAGAUAACAUCCCCAGGGGAAGAAAGAUUUGAGUUAGGCCUGAUGCGUAUGGAGCAAGUGUUGUCUUCAUUGGUCCAGCACCUGGAAGAGACAGAAACUCACGUCAUUUGGGACAUCCUCAUUUUCAGAAAGCUUUGGAGUCUCAAAAGGACCAUUGGUAGGGAAGAACUGAGCCCCAGGACAGGAGAAAUUGAAAGGCAGCCAGAUAACAUCCCCAGGGGAAGGACGACCUGAGUUUGAGCUGCUGCCUAUGGAGCAAGCGAUGUCAGACUUGUUCCAGCACCUGGAAGAGACAGAAAGUCACGUCCUUUUGGGCAUCCACAUCUCCAGAGAGCAUCUGAGCCAAAGUCCCCAUGGGAAGGAAGAUCUGAGUUUGGUCCACUGCCCAUGGAGCAAGUGAUGUCAGCCUUUGUCCACCACCUGUAAGAAACAGAAACUCAGUUCCUUUUGGGCAUCCUCAUUUCCAGAAAGCAUGUGAGCUAGACAACUCCCCAGAGGAAUUCAGUUCCUUGUUUGGCCUGGUUCCCGUGGGUCAAUCAAUGUCAGCCUUGGUCCAGCACCUGGAAGAGACAGAUACCAACUUCCUUUUGGGCACCCUCAUUU
Non-coding RNA from Globicephala melas (long-finned pilot whale), 723 nucleotides. Lineage: Eukaryota; Metazoa; Chordata; Mammalia; Artiodactyla; Delphinidae. The record is from RefSeq and is a predicted model, not a curated record.